UACCAUCAUCACCGGCCACCUGUUUCUUCUCUGUUGCUUUACUUGCACGGCUGCAACACCAACUCCUUCAGCUUUCACUUUCGGCCUAUAUGACGCUCUUCUACUCCAAGCAACAGGUCGGUCAAGAUUCGUGCCCGUUAAAAGCAGACAGGAAGGAAGAAGGCUCCGCCUCAUCAAGUGAGGGGGUGCCUCUGAGUUGGAUGCCAUGGUGCCGUGGAGGCUGGAGGCCCGCCUGGCGGAGACGGUGAGGGCGGCGCUCCUCGGCUGGCUCUUCUUCUGCAUCACCGUCGCCAGCGAUGUCGCACAUGCGCUCAGAAGCAGCGAUCUCUCCAUCUAAGACCGGCCACGUUCGACAUGGCCAAGACCGACUCUGUGCCUACAAAGUGGCAGUUCAUUGGGCGCACAGGAAGAAAAUUUAUUUACAGCAGUGUAACCAGUCAGUGAGUUCAUCCAUGAGAGAAUGAGUUCGAUGUAAAGGUGAA
This 482-nucleotide ribosomal RNA is filed under the name Triticum aestivum (bread wheat). RNAcentral's name for it is "partial small subunit ribosomal RNA". Lineage: Eukaryota; Viridiplantae; Streptophyta; Magnoliopsida; Poales; Poaceae. The record is from RNAcentral.